Molecule: long non-coding RNA, 808 nt
Organism: Gopherus flavomarginatus (Mexican gopher tortoise)
Lineage: Eukaryota; Metazoa; Chordata; Testudines; Testudinidae
Exons: 3
Source: RefSeq, a predicted model, not a curated record
GCCAGAGCCCUGGGAGAAACGGGGGGCAGGGCGGCAGAAAGCGUUGGGGGCGGUGAAGGCGGGUGUGGGAGGCGCCAGCGUUGGGUGAUGUAGGUGGUAGAUUUGGGGGGAGGGGAGGUGACAUUGGCUGUGGAGUAGGGCAGGCUGACGCUGAGGGCAGUGAGGGGUAGGUUGUGGGAGCAGGUUUGGGAUUGUAGGGGGAGGGGAGUGCUGUGGCAGGGGGUGUUGAAGGCAUGGGGGUGGGAUACGUUUUGGGGGAUGAUGGGGACUGGGGAGGUGGCACUGGCUGUGUGUGUGGGGCAGGACUGCGCUGGGGGCAGGGAGCUGGUGGGAGGGGAGGUGGCACUGGCUGUGGCUGCGGGGCAGGGCUGCGCUGGGGGCAGGUUGGGUGCUGGUUUGGGGGGAGGUGGCACUGGCUGCGGGGCAGGGCUGCGCUGGGGCAGGUUGGGUGGUUUGGGGGAGGUGGCACUGGCUGUGGGUGUGGGGCAGGGCUGCGCUGGGGGCAGGGAGCUGGUGGGAGGGGAGGUGGCACUGGCUGUGGGUGUGGGGCAGGGCUGCGCUGGGGGCAGGGAGCUGGUGGGAGGGGAGGUGGCACUGGCUGUGGGUGUGGGGCAGGGCUGCGCUGGGGGCAGGGAGCUGGUGGGAGGGGAGGUGGCACUGGCUGUGGGUGUGGGGCAGGGCUGCGCUGGGGGCAGGGAGCUGGUGGGAGGGGAGGUGGCACUGACUUCACGGGCUGGGCUAGGCAGUGCUGGGGCAGGGGGCUGUUAGGGGAUGUUCUGCCCUCACUGGCGCCUGUGUUUCACCUUGU